This 203-nucleotide long non-coding RNA is filed under the name Elaeis guineensis (African oil palm). Its description in RNAcentral is "long non-coding RNA (EGUI_LNC017012)". Lineage: Eukaryota; Viridiplantae; Streptophyta; Magnoliopsida; Arecales; Arecaceae. The record is from RNAcentral.
GGUAGCUCACCUUAGCUCCUCCGUAGUCUCUGCAAAGGCCUCUGACACCAUAAGUUUCUCCUCCAGUGAAAGCUUUGCUUGGUUGAAGCCAAUCAAGCUCUCACAAAGGAUGGUGGCAUCAUGCGCCAACUGCAUAGAACAAAAAGUCAACGAUCACUGCUAAAAGUCAAAAGCAAAUUUGAAAGAUAGAAGCUCACCCGAAG